AAAACAAAUAGAAACGUAGAAAAAGAUGGGACUAUUACGAAACACUCUGGUGGUUCAAUAAAAUUGGAGGUUCAUGAGAAUAGAUUGGCAAAGAAGUUGGGUAGACAACCAACUCAACUUGAACUAUUUCGUGCAACUCAC
Long non-coding RNA from Manihot esculenta (cassava), 141 nucleotides. RefSeq lists it as uncharacterized. The record is from RefSeq and is a predicted model, not a curated record. NCBI's taxonomy places the organism in Eukaryota, Viridiplantae, Streptophyta, Magnoliopsida, Malpighiales, Euphorbiaceae. The transcript has 2 exons.